This 21-nucleotide microRNA is filed under the name Homo sapiens (human). RNAcentral's name for it is "hsa-miR-1237-5p". Lineage: Eukaryota; Metazoa; Chordata; Mammalia; Primates; Hominidae. The record is from miRBase by way of RNAcentral.
CGGGGGCGGGGCCGAAGCGCG